AUGGCAGCGGGCAGGGGAGGGCUCCCACAAACCGGGGAGCUCUGCCCAGAGGAUUUGGGGGCUCCCCAAACCCAGCAGCCCCAUCUCUGGGGUCACAGCACCCCCAGAGCCUCACGGCUGCCCGGAGACCCCCGGGCUCGUGCAGGUGGAGCCCCCGCGCCCAGCGGUGCCGGUGUCCCCGUGCCGCUCUCCGUGCGCCCACACCGGCACCCCGCGGUGCCCAGCCUGCCCGCGCCCCCCCGGCCUCGUUUCCUUUCCCCAUUUCCCCGAGCCCCCGCAGAAGAGGAAGCGGCAGAGCCCUCGGAACUGCUGCUGCUGCACAAUUUGCCGCGAGCCAUCGCUGGGAGCCGCUGGCACCCUCCCUGGCAGGGGCUGCGGGGUCUGCCGGGAAGGCGAGGCCGCGAUGGCGACGCUGCUGGAGUCCGGCGUGCGCAGCCAGCGAGUGGGUAAGUGCCGAGGGGAGGGCGGCUGAGGGGGGGGUCCGUCUGCUCCCCCCGCACACACACACACACAGGGCAGCCGCUGCCCCCACCCCCCCCCCCCCGCCCCCUGCCGCCGCGGACCCCCCCCUGCGCCCCUAAUGAGCCGCGCUCCCCCGCGCCCCAUAACCAGAACCAGCUGCUGCCGCGAAACCUGACGCCGCGCCAGCAGCGGCCCCAGCAGCGGCACCGCACGGGCCCCCCCCCCACAACACCCCCCCCCCCCCCAAAAAAAGCGGCCCCGCCCCCCCCCCCCCCCCCCCCCACAGCCCCGCAGCCCCAUCCCCGGGGACUUUCCUUUUUGUCAGGGAUCAAAUAUUCAUGCCGCAGACACGGAUACAGGGAAAGGCACUUAUGGAACAGGCGUGAAGGACGAGGCCGUGGCGAGCCGGGGAGCAGCCGAGCCCCCCCCUCGACCCCCCCCCCCGUCAUCUCCUGGGGGGGGCCCAAAGCAAAAUCCGGCCUCUGGCAGCGGCACGCACGGUGCUGAGCCCCGGUGAGCCGUGCGUGGUGCCUGCUGGUGGCUUGGCUCCUGGGAGGCAAAACAGAGGGGAACGGCCGGGACCCCCACUGCCGGCAUUGGGGUGCCCACCACCAAGCCCAGCCCCAGUUUUAGGGUCGCAGGGGACCCCCCCGCUGCAGGCUGUGGGGUUCCCAAGCAGGAUUUAGGGAGCUGCCCCUGGGGUGUCACUGGGGUCAGUGGGAGCAGGGGGGGGUUCACCUGGACGCAGAUAUUUGGGCAUCCGUGCCAGGUACCCCUGGCGGGGGUCCCGCGCCCGUCCCCAGCCCCUGUCCCCAGCACAGCCCCGUGGAGCCCCCCCCGGGCCCACAGCUGGAGCCUGCCCACCCCUCAGUUCGUGCACUCACAGGAGGGUGAUUAAUUAAUCAGCCCCUCUGCUAAUUGGAGCCAUGUGCCAGGAGGAGCGCAGCCAGCAGGGAGCCCCGGGCACGGCUCCGGCGCUUGCCCCAUC
RNAcentral lists this long non-coding RNA (1450 nucleotides) under Anas platyrhynchos platyrhynchos (common mallard). RNAcentral's name for it is "lncRNA (ENSAPLG00000027652.1)". The record is from RNAcentral. Lineage: Eukaryota; Metazoa; Chordata; Aves; Anseriformes; Anatidae.